AUUAUGACACUAAUAAUAAUGUAGAAGAAAGCUUCAUGUGUCCAGCCAGGUUCCUGCCCUCACCCUGCACCCGAAGAUGCCCUUCAGGACAAACCAAAAUCGCGCCUAAGCAGGGUGAUCGCCGGUCCUGCGGCAGGUUUGACAAACUCUCGGAGAAGACAGCCACCUGCCAGAAUGCACCUGACUCCAUCUCGCCCGGGAGCCCCGAAGCGAGGCUCGGCCGGUGA
This 227-nucleotide long non-coding RNA is filed under the name Bos mutus (wild yak). RNAcentral describes it as "lncRNA (ENSBMUG00000007034.1)". Lineage: Eukaryota; Metazoa; Chordata; Mammalia; Artiodactyla; Bovidae. The record is from RNAcentral.